AGCGAACGCUGGCGGCAGGCCUAACACAUGCAAGUCGAACGAACUCUUCGGAGUUAGUGGCGGACGGGUGAGUAACACGUGGGAACGUGCCUUUAGGUUCGGAAUAACUCAGGGAAACUUGUGCUAAUACCGAAUGUGCCCUUCGGGGGAAAGAUUUAUCGCCUUUAGAGCGGCCCGCGUCUGAUUAGCUAGUUGGUGAGGUAAAGGCUCACCAAGGCGACGAUCAGUAGCUGGUCUGAGAGGAUGAUCAGCCACAUUGGGACUGAGACACGGCCCAAACUCCUACGGGAGGCAGCGGUGGGGCAUCUUGCGCAAUGGGCGAAAGCCUGACGCAGCCAUGCCGCGUGAAUGAUGAAGGUCUUAGGAUUGUAAAAUUCUUUCACCGGGGACGAUAAUGACGGUACCCGGAGAAUAAGCCCCGGCUAACUUCGUG
Molecule: ribosomal RNA, 433 nt
Filed under: uncultured bacterium
Lineage: Bacteria
Description: partial 16S ribosomal RNA
Rfam family: Bacterial small subunit ribosomal RNA
Source: RNAcentral